Molecule: long non-coding RNA, 4665 nt
Filed under: Sus scrofa (pig)
Lineage: Eukaryota; Metazoa; Chordata; Mammalia; Artiodactyla; Suidae
Description: lncRNA (ENSSSCG00025010610.1)
Source: RNAcentral
UUUUUUUAUUCCACAACAAUUUGUAGAGGUAAUUUUCAUUUUUAAAAAGGUCAUGUGGACACAAGGGAACAAAGUUGGAGGACAGGCAGCCAGAGAAGAAAGCAAACAGUAAUCCGGGAAGAAGAUGAUGCUGGAUGAAUCCAGCUGAGUGUUGGUGGGACAUACUCAAGUGAGAAGGGUGAGAUGCUGUCUUUACAACACGUGGGUGAUAAUCCUGAGAUAAGUGAGCUGAAUGAUAAAAUUUCAGAUUUAGGGAGAAGAAUGCUCUUGACAGAAACUUUGUGGGAGGAAGGUUAUUGGUGGUGGUUUUGACGAUGAUUAGAUGACUGGGGUGAGAGGAAGGGAAAGAUCAUUUGAAGUGCAGGAAAAACAAAAUGAGACAUCAAACAUUUUAUAUAUGCUUCUAAGACAGUCUCUGGCAUGGCUGGGUGUUGUAUGUCACCUCCCCCUCAGUCCUUGAGGACGGACGCGACGUCCCUGUCAUCUUCAUACUCCUAGUGCUUGUCAUAGUCCUGGUGCUAAAGAACUCGAGAAGUGUCUGCUACAGGACUGAAUUACCAUUCAGAAUUAUUUGAAUACCAUCUAUUUUUGAUUGAAAUUUCUAAAAGAAUUUCUACUAAAAUUAAACUAUGGUGUGCCAGUGUGUUAAUACUCAUGAUGUAACUGGUAGUGGGCAUGAACAAUAUACUUCACACACAGACACACACAGACAUGCGCAUACACACACACACAUACACACACACACACGGCCAGGGAUUCUACAUGUGGAAAAAGCACAGUACAAUGAUACAUAAGUGACCCAAAGUAAAUGGAAGCAGGAAGGGGUUAGUGCAGCAGUCUGUGACCUGAGGCACAUAGAUUCUGCUGUCAGCAGGAGCUUUCAUGGCAGAGAAAGAGGUUGAAAGCCACUUUCUCCACAAGUACGCAUGUUUAUGUAUUAUUCACAAUAGCAAAUAAUUGUAAAAUGUCAACAUUUCGUUUCCUCUUAAGAGCUUCUUUUGAUUAGUGACCUAAUUAACCAUUAAGAAGAAAAGGUUUUUUAAGUGUAAAUAUGAAAAGAGGGAGUGUUUCCUAGCAGCAAUUUGUGAUUUUAAAAUGUCACAGGCAGGGACAUCACGGAGGUGCUACCAACCAGCACUUUUCAAAAUAUGACUCUGUGUCAGGAACGUGUGGCAUGGAUGUGUUUGGUGUUUUUGUGUAUGUGAGUGUGUGUGUGUGUGUGUGUGUGUGAAAGGUUGUUUUUAAUCAAUUUAAUUUGAGACUGUAUUCUUCACAGAUAAUGACACAUUUUCUCUUUCACUUCAUGAGUAUAUAUGGAAAAAAUGCAAAAGUGCCACACACAGGCACACACACAGCACAUGUACACUUUCCUAUGUAUUCAACAAAUGUACAACUAAAUGCAUAUGCACUGUGCACACAUAUACAACAUACACUUACAAUGCAACACACGUAAGCAUGCACAACAACUACACAACUACACAACAAACAUGGACAUAAACAUAAGAUACAUGUACACAACAUGCUCACAUUUAUAUGCUGUCAUAUACAUAAUGCAUGCAUAUUUUGAUAUACUCAUACAAACUUAACACCCACAUGCAUAUAAUCACAUGGAAUAAAAUUUACAUAUGAAUUUUAAAAGUAUCUCCCUAAAACCUUAUUCCACAUGUCAAGGUGUGACACCUCCUGGGAGAUCUCAGCUGGAAACAUUUCUGAAACAGCCUUUCUCACAGUUGAGAGUAACCUGACCUUUUAUUCUGGUUGCCCACAGGGACCAGGGAUGAGCAAGAUGCAUAAAAUGGGAAAACACAAACAAGCAACAUGUCUAACUAUGAAGCUUCCUUUUAAAAAGUCUAAGUCAGUUUUAAAUACAUUCUACCUGAUUUCCACCGUAUAAUGAGAUAAUUAAGUUAUGUUAUUAAACAAAAAUGUUACAAAAACCUCUCUUUUCAGGAUGAUGAUUGAAACCAGAGUCUAGAAAAUACACCAUGUUAUUCAAAUUAACAUAGAUUAAACUAUUUUAUAGAUUUUAUUACAGUGAGAAAUGCAUAAAAUCUUAGCAAUUAAUUAAGCUCCAUCUAGACCUGUUCUCCCAAUGCUUUAUAAAUGUGAACACACACACAUACAUGAACACAAUCUGUAGACAAAAUUUCAAGAUCAAGUGUUUUUUUUUUUGUUUUUUGUUUCCCUAUCGACCAUUAAGCAUAAAUGGUAUGUACUAAUAAUUUCUGGUGAAUAAAUCAAUCCAUCUUUAAGAAUAAGAAUUCGGAUUGAAUCCAAGCAUUGAGAUUACUGAUACCCUACUAUGUGUCAGGCACUGUGCAAGGCCAUUUCAGGUAACAAAUAUAAGAAAAUCUCUGCUUUCUAGAAAUCUCCAGAUGUUUAAGUUGCAGACGUGCCCCAGAUCUGGUGUUGCUAUGGCUCUGGGGUAGGCCAGCAGCAACAGCUCUGAUUCGACCCCUAGCCUGGGAACCUCCAUAUGCUGCGGGUGCAGCCCUAAAAAGACAAAAGACAAAAAAAAAAAGAAAAAAAAUAGAAGCCUCCAGACCAGUGGGAGCUAUAGUUAUCAUGAUGAUUUGAGGUCAGUUCUCUGAUGAUGGAAGACACAGGUAUUCCUGGAAAAUAAAAGGAAAAUACAACAAAACCCUGAGGUCAGGAAAGUCUAAUUUUAAACCAGGCCCCUCUUUACUCCUGAAUGGGAGUAAACACACUUUGGGGAAAUUCCUACUUGGAAAUGUAAAUUGCUUAGGAAAGCUUUUCAGAUCUCAGUUUAAAUAUUAUCACCAUCAUCCAGUUGAAUUCUGAUAAGACAACUUGUAUAUAUUGUAAUUAAUAAUGCUUCCCUAUUUUUAUUUCCUAUUUGUGCCCUUACCUUAGACAUGUAACUCUCACUAAGGGCUCCAGAUGCUGAAAGCCUUCUGCAUGUCUAUGUGGAUGUGUACCUGAAUUUGCCUCUUCAUCUGCACAUGUAUGUUUGUAUGCAUAUGUUUGUGAGCAUGCACACACACAAGGAUGUGUGUAGGCAUAUGCUCCAUCUCUCUGUUCAUGACCAUUUGGCUCCGACAUGUGCCUUGAGUGUCUGAGCAAGUCUCCUUCACUGGACUUAGUCUGCUUCAGAUUCCAGCACUUGAAAGGUCAAAUAAAGUAGCUUGCGCCACACCUUCUCUGUGAAGAAUGAUCUCUACAAACAGAGAGAGAAAAUGUCUAUGAGGUUGGGUACAGCAUUAUCCAAGCAGUCUGAGGCUAUGCAUUCCGGUUCCAGGCAGGGGAACAGAGGUUAUUCUCGGGCAAAAAUUAACUAUUAUCUCCAGUGCUCUGAGCAGUUGACGAGUUUCACCUAGUCUAGUGUUGUUCCUACACUUUUCAGCUUAAGUUUCCAUAGGACCCCUCGGCCCAUGAACUCAAUAACCAUGCAGAUGAAGACAGUAUUGUAAGUACUGUGCUAACAAGGCAGAGACCAUGAGUUUGACCACAUCACUUGUCCCUAAUGACAGCCAUUGAGCUGUUACUCAAUUCCUAAAGAAACAUCAUUAGAGAAUUUAGAUGUAUGUUUGAGUGACAAAGCUCAUAAGAAGGAAGCCUCAGUGACCAGUCCAGCAAUGCUGCUCAAGAUAACAGGUUCUUGCAAGUAGCACUAGUUGAGCUCCUUGGCACGUUCAAUUCUGACUUUUGUCUUGGAGGAAGUUUUCACUUUCACUCAGUUUUAGGUAAUAGGCAAAAACUAGUGAGGGCACAUAGAAAUUAUUCUUCCCUUGAUAUUCCUGUUAUGACUCAGUGGGUGAAGUACCUGGCAUAGUGUCUGAGAAGAUGUGGGUUCAAUUCCAGACCUCGCUCAGUUGGGUUAAGUAUCGUUGUUGCCCCAAGUAGGUUGCAGAUGCCGCUUGGAUCCUGAAUUUCUGUGGCUGUGGCCUAGGCUGCACCUGCAGCUCCAAUUCAACCCCUAGCCUGGGAACUUCCAUAUGCUGCAGGUGUAAUAAUAAAAAGAAAAAGAAAAAAAAGAGAAAAAAAUUAUUCUUUCCUCUAAGUGUAUAUAGUUUUGAGAAUGGAAUUUCCAGUGAACACCUGUCUUCUUCGUUUCCUAUUUGUAAGCUCUCAGAAAGGUUUGUUAAUGCAUGAUUUGAAAAUGAUAUUACUAAAUACCAUUUGUAGGAGGAGCACGGGAGAUAUAUAACAGAAGAUGUUAGGGAUUCAGAGAAAAGAUGAGGAGAAAAGGGGAAAAGAUAUUGGAUGUACAUAUUAGAAAUUCUCUAGGUUUGGUCUCUUAAAGCAAAAAAGGAAAUUUAUCUUUAAUCAUUUGUAAAAGAAAAGAAUUCAAAGAAACAAGGUCCUUGGCCCACUAGCUGCCUAUCUCCAGUAUCCACCAGGCUCUGUUAGCAACCUGUGACAGUCCCUGUGUGGAAAAGAUAAAGUCACUAUCCAGAAAGGACAAGCAAUGGGCUGACUUUUUACACAUGCUUCAAUCUCCUAUAAUCAGACUGGCUAAGCAGUCUGGGCAGAAGAUUGGCAAAUCAUGAAAGCAGAGACUGAUUUUCUCCUUUAUUGCUUAAAAGCAGAUGAAAUUAUCCCUACAUAACAAGCAGCCAGGAAUGCUGUACCAAUUGCCUAAGCCCCAAUCAGUCUUUCCUCAUGGUUAUAGUUAUGGUCUGAUUUCAAAUCUAAAUCUCUUUU